RNAcentral lists this transfer RNA (72 nucleotides) under Anaerolinea sp. RNAcentral's name for it is "tRNA-Arg". It matches the Rfam family "tRNA". From Rfam's summary of the family: Transfer RNA (tRNA) molecules are approximately 80 nucleotides in length. Their secondary structure includes four short double-helical elements and three loops (D, anti-codon, and T loops). Further hydrogen bonds mediate the characteristic L-shaped molecular structure. tRNAs have two regions of fundamental functional importance: the anti-codon, which is responsible for specific mRNA codon recognition, and the 3' end, to which the tRNAs corresponding amino acid is attached (by aminoacyl-tRNA synthetases). tRNAs cope with the degeneracy of the genetic code in two manners: having more than one tRNA (with a specific anti-codon) for a particular amino acid; and 'wobble' base-pairing, i.e. permitting non-standard base-pairing at the 3rd anti-codon position. Lineage: Bacteria; Bacillati; Chloroflexota; Anaerolineae; Anaerolineales; Anaerolineaceae. RNAcentral also lists the same sequence under 1 other name. The record is from RNAcentral.
GUCCCCGUAGCUCAGCGGAUAGAGCGUUGGCCUCCGAAGCCAAAUGCGAGGGUUCGAUUCCCCCCGGGGACG